GAUGAAGAACGUAGCGAAAUGCGAUAAGUAGUGUGAAUUGCAGAAUUCAGUGAAUCAUCGAAUCUUUGAACGCACAUUGCGCCACUUGGUAUUCCAUGGGGCAUGCCUGUUCGAGCGUCAUUUGUACCUUCAAGCUCUGCUUGGUGUUGGGUGUUUGUCUCGCCUCUGCGUGUAGACUCGCCUCAAAAUAAUUGGCAGCCGGCGUAUUGAUUUCGGAGCGCAGUACAUCUCGCGCUUUGCACUCAUAACGACGACGUCCAAAAGUACAUUUUUACACUCUUGACCUCGGAUCAGGUAGGGAUACCCGCUGAACUUAAGCAUAUCAAAAGCGGAGGA
RNAcentral lists this unclassified non-coding RNA (336 nucleotides) under soil metagenome. RNAcentral describes it as "partial contains 5.8S ribosomal RNA, internal transcribed spacer 2, and large subunit ribosomal RNA". The stretch from base 1 to 120 matches the Rfam family "5.8S ribosomal RNA", at positions 35 to 154 of the family's 154-position model. The record is from RNAcentral.